GGACAGAGUUAACCGGAGAGGAAAAAGGGGACACGAAACCACCGUGGCUGCAAUGGCGUCGCCCGCUCCCGCUCCCGCGACCGCGAAGCCCAUCGCUCUCCGGCGGCCGCCGGUCCCAGUCCGCGGCGGGUUCUGCCCGGUGCGUCCGUCCAUGGCUGCAGCGGCAGGCCGGCUCAGAGUCUCGGCCUCCGCUUCCGCCUCGGACGUGCCCGACUUCCUCUCCUCCGACUGGCUUGAAACACGCAAGAAGAAGCCUUUGGGCCCCAGGUUGAAUUUUAAUGCAGAAGAAGCAGUGGAGUACCAGCUUGAGGCCUUGAAAUACAAUGACAAACCCCGCCCGGAUUAUGGGGUUGAGGUCAUGUACCGGUUUGCAGGCUUUAAUCCAUUUGAAAGGUCAACUUAUUUUGGACGACAGUUUGAUCUUGGGCAGUUCGAACGUUUCCGGCGGAUAUUUCACCAUUCAACUUACAGGGUGCUGCUUGGCCACAAAGAAAGAGAGAUAUUAAGCAGAUUAUGGGUUGAAGAGAAUCAAUUUAAGCAGAGAGUUUGGAUCCGAGGAGCUCGCCCGGAGGAAGAAGAGAUAUUCCAGUUUACAAUGGUUCAGAGAGUUGGCGGCUCGUGGGACGGCUACUGGCUAACCGAGAGCUUGACAAACGACGACGGGGACGCAUUCUCAGGCGGGGUUGCUUAUUGACAGGCAUGUACAUAUACACUCAACUUUCAGCGUAUAGAUCGAUGCCUAUACGAAUACUAGCAAACUAGAAAAUGUAAGUAUGAGUUGAUGGUCCAGAUAUAGUUGACGUUUGCGACGACUGUCCAUGUAGAUGACACACUAGCAGAAGAAAGGAAUUUGCGGUGGAAUUAGCUGGUGUGUUCCCAUCCUGUAAAGCAUCUCAUCAUGUCAACCAUACACUACCAGAUCUAAGCUAUAUAUAUACUUACAAGACAAUCGCUUUCAAGAUAGAAAAGGGUCAUGCUUGUAGAGUAGUAUUUUGUCUGCUUGGUUCCGUAGGUGGACAAAACACCCGGAUUCUGGAUGUCUUGGAAAGGUUGCUGAGCCGAACACACAGGAAGGAACCAAAGUUCAUCACCAAACCUCACCAGACACCAGCAACUUGCUUGGGGGCCUUUCUGGCUCUUGUAUAUCAUUCCGAGUUCGACCAAUCAGAAGCACGGUUCGUCGCGAGCACCUGACUUGCGAGUUCGUCUUCGAUGCUUCAUCCUUCUCUCUUGGUAACUGGUCAUUUCACCUGUAUCGGUCCAGGUUUUCUGUUGGCGGGUUCCGUUCUGAUCGGCGUGUGUUGCGGUGAGACCUGCUGGUACUAAAAAACAGCAAGGACAUGGACCGCAAGGCUACCAGUCUGACAUGCUACUCACCUGAAGGCGGAGAGGACAGAAGGAUGAAGCUUGCGGACGGUGCAGAUGAUCGUCACCGUCUGCCGACGCCGAUUCCACAUAUGGAGUAGCACAUGAAUGAAACGAAUCUGCGGUAGGUUUGGCUGCUGUGCUCUCAUUCUGCAAAGGUUUCGUCGUGCCAACCAUGCCGUGAAAUGCAUAGAAAACAGUCGUUGUCAAGACAAACAAGUGUAUAGAAGAGAGGAGUUACGGCCGUAAUGAGCUUGCAAAACAAAAGUUCACCCCUAAAGAAAAGCUUGUAAAAGGUUCUCCGGUGUUCAUGUAAAAACAGAAGGUUCUGCAUUGUCAAUCAAUUUUGUAACGUAUACUUGUGUGGUUUUUUUUUUUGAACCAGGCCUUAACCCCUUUCCAUUAUAAGCAUAAUGGAAAUACAUAGUUCAGUAACCAAAGACCCAAAAGCCACACUCAACCUAAGGAAGCUAGAAAGGGGUAAGGCGAGCUCAAGGCACCUCUGGGAAACCCACCAUGAGCACUUGUCCUCGAG
This 1900-nucleotide ribosomal RNA is filed under the name Triticum aestivum (bread wheat). RNAcentral's name for it is "partial small subunit ribosomal RNA". The record is from RNAcentral. Lineage: Eukaryota; Viridiplantae; Streptophyta; Magnoliopsida; Poales; Poaceae.